UAAGAGGAGAGACUCGUGCGCCCCCUCCCUCCUCUCUGGUUGUGGAGGCCUUCGGGUUAUUCCCCGAAAUCCAAUCUUAUCCGAAGGACCCUGGGAGGCUAGGGGCAGGGACAGCUGCAUUUCUCGCAGCGGGCCACUAGGAAGCUUGCCGGCGCCUCGCAUUCUCCUCCCUCUCCCGCCCCAGUCGGAGCCAGAGCUGGAGCAGGAGCCCGGGAUUGCACCUCGUUCCCCAGCGCCGCGUCCCAGCACCACCACCCCAUCCCGCCCGUGGCUUUCCCGUGCCACGAGAGGCGGGACUCGCACUCCAUCUAGGAGCAAGGGAGGAGAGUGGAGGAGCGCCCCUCGCUUGUCUUGGGGUUCAGCUCAGGAAUCACCUGCUCCAGGAAACCUUCACGGAUUCUCUCUAGGUGGAAAACAUCAUCAGGUUCAGGUUAAACAUGUCUCAACAUUCAGGCUGACAGUCAAGGCAUCAUUGGAUAAUCCUACCUCUCCCCAUCCCCUCCUCAGGACUGGAUGACGCCAAACACCGAGGACAACUCCCUGAGGAACAGUUCGCAGCAUGACCACUUAGCCUCUUGACCAGAAGGCCCCGCCACCCCCCCCUGCCCUGCUCCCACCUCCCCAUCCCAGGUGGUGAGGGAGUGAAAUUUCAGAGCAGUGGGGGGUGGCAGCAGUGGAGGUGGGGGGAAG
This is a long non-coding RNA of Vombatus ursinus (common wombat), 690 nucleotides long. RefSeq lists it as uncharacterized. The record is from RefSeq and is a predicted model, not a curated record. The transcript has 4 exons. NCBI's taxonomy places the organism in Eukaryota, Metazoa, Chordata, Mammalia, Diprotodontia, Vombatidae.